CGAAUGGACGAGUCGUAGCUGUAAAGAGACUAACAAGAAACUCUAAGCAAGGAAGAGUUGAUUUUAAGAACGAGGUCAUGCUAGUGGCCAGACUUCAACAUAGGAAUUUGGUUAGACUCUUGGGUUUCUGUUCUGAAAGAAAUGAAAGGCUUCUCAUAUAUGAAUAUGUUCCAAAUUCAAGUCUCGACCAUUACAUUUUUGAUCGAGAGAAGCGUUUACUAAUAAAUUGGGGCACAC
Molecule: unclassified non-coding RNA, 237 nt
Filed under: Hevea brasiliensis (rubber tree)
Lineage: Eukaryota; Viridiplantae; Streptophyta; Magnoliopsida; Malpighiales; Euphorbiaceae
Source: RNAcentral